Molecule: ribosomal RNA, 494 nt
Filed under: uncultured bacterium
Lineage: Bacteria
Description: partial 16S ribosomal RNA
Rfam family: Bacterial small subunit ribosomal RNA
Source: RNAcentral
GACGAACGCCGGCGGCGCGCUUAACACAUGCAAGUCGAACGGAAAGGCCUGCUUUCCCUUGUGGAUUGCGGGUACUCGAGUGGCGAACGGGUGAGUAACACGUGAGUGAUCUGCCCCCAACUUGGGUAUAAGCCUGGGAAACUGGGUCUAAUUCCCGAUAGGACUGCAGGGUGGUGCCUGUGGUGGAAAACGAUUUUCUAGUGGUUGGGGAUGAGCUCGCGGCCUAUCAGCUUGUUGGUGGGGUAAUGGCCUACCAAGGCGGCGACGGGUAGCCGGCCUGAGAGGGUGGACGGCCACAUUGGGACUGAGAUACGGCCCAGACUCCUACGGGAGGCAGCAGUGGGGAAUAUUGCACAAUGGGCGGAAGCCUGAUGCAGCGACGCCGCGUGGGGGAUGACGGCCUUCGGGUUGUAAACUCCUUUCGACCGCGAGGAAGCCACCUGGUUGGAAGGGUGGUGACGGUAGUGGUAGAAGAAGCACCGGCUAACUACGUG